RNAcentral lists this long non-coding RNA (3215 nucleotides) under Xyrichtys novacula (pearly razorfish). Lineage: Eukaryota; Metazoa; Chordata; Actinopteri; Labriformes; Labridae. The record is from RNAcentral.
CGCACUGUUGUUAAAGUCAAGGUGCUGCCAAAGAAGCUGAGGAUGUUAUGCAAAAGUCAGAUAAAUAAGUAUUUCACUUACUCGCUCCUUGAUGAACGGGGUUAAAAGAAACCAAGUUUUUAGUAAUUAUGAUCUGGUUUCCUCUGUUCACACUUUAACAUACAGGUACAGCUCAAAAAAGAGAAUGUCCUGAAAAACAGCUGAUUUUUCCCCAUAAUUUAAUUCAGAAAAAGACACUUCAAUGUCUUAGAUUUAUCACACAAAGUGAAAUAUUUCAAGACUAUUUUGUUUGAAUCUUGAUGAUUACCGUUUACAGCUCCCUAAAAUUUAAUAAUGUGUACUGAACCAGAGUGAGAGAAUUUAUAGGCUCAGUAAACCUUUGCAGGUGUUCAGAGCACAUUAGCUGAUUAGAGCUAAUUACAGGACAAUAAGAACUGGCAAGAACUGGACUUUUCAACAAUAUCCAAACAUUGUGAGAUAGUGGCUUUUUGAUGACCUUUAAACUGUCAUCAAGAUUGAAAUAAAACUAAGUCUUGAAAUAUUUCACUUUGUGUGUGAUGAAUCUAUAUAGAAGGUCCACUUUUUAAAAUUAUGAGGAAAAAUGAACUUUUUUAGGACAUGCUAAUGUUUUGAGCUGUACCUGUAAACCUGGAAGGUAUUUUCCAAGAUAACAUUUAGCUAGAUAUACAGGCCACUUUAUUCUUAGAGGGCCUCCAUGUUUAUCUUUUUAUUAAUAUUGGGUUUAUAUACCAUUAAAAUAAAAUAAAAAAAAUAUUUUUCAGCUUACUUAACAACGUAUAUCAAUUAGUCAGUUGUUGUUGGUUAUGACAAAUGAAACAAAAACACAAGUCCCAUGGAUGUCGAUCAAUGUUUCAAGCCACACACAAAAAACAUUUCCAUAAGGUUUUAUUUUAAUGAAUGCUCUCACACUUUAUCCUUUAUAAAGUUAUUUACACAUAUUUCGCUCCCAUGGUAAAGAAAAUAUCCAUAAGUGGAAAGAGAAGGGAAAAAGAAGGCAACAAAGUAAAAAAGUAAAGCACAACCAAGAUUUUAACAGAAAGCUCUAAAUCAUAAAAUAUAUAUAUAUAUAGCAUUGAUCUGAAGGAAUUUGUGUAGAUGUCUAUAAAAUAUUACCACUGAUUUAUAUACUCAGAGGUAGGGCUAAGAAACAUGAAAUGCUUUGUUUGUACAACUUCUACACGGUGCCAAUUGUUGCAAACAGCUCCCUCUGAUGGGAUGUUUGUGUACAGCAUGUCCUUCCCAAAGUGCACCUCAAAGCUGAAGAGAAAGUUUGUUUGCACCUCAAUCUUCACAGUCUAGGAAUAUUUUAGAUCAUUGAUAUAAAAUGAGAGUCAUUUGUUACAUAAAAGUGCUGUGAUCCUGGGUAUUGUUACUAAGGGUAGCCUGUUAUGUAACUUCUGUACGUCAGCUAGCUCUAAGUUUGUUUGUGGUCAGACAGAUGUUUGUAAUGACUACUGUGCAUGAGGGUUGAGUCCAUUGCAUCAACACCGUUUGAAAACUUAAAAGUCGAAAAACAUGAUCACAGAGGAGUUGAAAUGUUGAAAACCAUAGAAACUUUUGUUUGAGGCAAACUUUUUCCUCAACUGUGCACUGUGUGAAGGACUUCAGUCUAUAUAAGCAUGCUGCAGCACAAUCACAGCAUAUCUGUCAAAUCACUGCAUGGAUCUGUAAAGGCCUAACGCUACCUGUGACCACCUGGAGAAGACUACCAGAAAGAGUUUUCUCUACAGCCAGGCAGUCACUGUUGAAAAACUACUCCUCUUGUAGUUGGUUGAUCUUUACUAAAAAAAUACAUCUACACUCACAGAGUAGCAUUAAAGCAGAAAGCAGCGGGUUACAAACACACUACAUCUGGAUCUGAGAAAUCAACUAGUCAUGUUUUGUUUUUUUCUUGAAAUGUACAUUUUACCCUUUCAAUAGUGACUUUGGUUUAAAAACGAAUUAAGCGGUCUGGAAAUUUACAUAAUCAUUACCAUCUAUUAAAUGUCUUUAAAUAAGGCAAAGUUCAUCACCAGGUACCAUACUGCAAUUCAUUAUGAAUUAAGCUUUGUGUGGCACCAUCAAAUGAAAUAUUUUAGUUUAAAAUCUAGCUUUCCAUUGUGAAAACCAGGUUGCAGUCCCUGUUCUAGUUUGAACUUCUAUAUCAAGUUCAGGCAUGCAUACAAACCACUAUUGUGCCUUUGAAAUUGUGAAAUAAAAUAUCUUGCUGAGGAAGGAGAGUAAAAAGAACACAGCAUUUGCAAACUCAAAUUCCAUGAGGUAUAUACUAGAAGACUGUGCGUACAGACAAUCAAUUCUUUGAAAUCCCUAAUAUGCCAUUUGAGUGACAAUGGCUGAAGUAAGGCAAUUAUUCCGACUGUGACAUCUUUAACAGAAGGGUUACCAAUCAGUGUUGCAUGUGAGGAGUUAAAUAAAUUCAGUGCUCACCAUCCAAAACAAACUCAUUCUUGUUUUAACAGUUUAUGUGGUCGUUAUCAGAUUGGGUGUCCUUCCUGAUGCAUCACCAGCAUGUUGCAGGAUAUUCUACCGACAUUGAUGAUCAUAAAAAUGAUGAUCAUAGAGGAAUUUGUCAAAAUCACUGUAUUUAAAACCCUGUAUGGGCUGAAGCAGCCGCCUCCAUCCUUUUAAAUGGCUUAUUUGAAGUUUUAAAAAAAAAAAUCAACUGUUUGAGGAGGAGUGACAAUCAACACAAGAUUCAGAUGGUCCAGUUAGUUUGAGCAAAAGAACAUUUCCAAUACCUGAAGUCAGCCUGAUUCUCCAGUCCAGUGUAAAAACAGUAGAAGGCAUUUUGUGCUUAUGUCAACAUCACAGAUUAAGUGUAACAUACUAAUGAUGCAUCCUUGUGGGCAACACCUCAGUGUACACUGCAAUAAUACAGUAUCUCUUGUGUUACGCAGUGCUCAAGCUGUACAUAAGAAAUCUCUAUGACAUUCAUCAAGUCAUUAAAUACCUCAUGAAGUUAUGGUUAGUAAAGUCACUGUUUUAAAUUAAUCACUGCUAUCUUUGCUCAGUUUGUGCAGACGAAAUGAAGUGCUCCCAGUAAGAUCAAUUGGUAUAUCCUGGCAGUUCAUGUUAGCGGGGAAUGGAUGGCUGGUACCCUGCAGCAUUAUCUGAUGCCUUGUUUCUAUUUCAGUCAUGUAAGCCUCGCUGAGCGCAGCCUCAAAAUCACAGCACAAUUAAUUGAUUCUUCUACG